UACGUAGGGGGCGAGCGUUACCCGGAUUUACUGGGCGUAAAGCGCGUGUAGGCGGCUGGCCAAGCGUGAUGUGAAAUCUUCGGGCUUAACCCGAAAACUGCAUUGCGAACUGGCCUGGCUCGAGUGUAGGAGAGGGCUGCAGAAUUCCUGGUGUAGCGGUGAAAUGCGUAGAUAUCAGGAGGAAUACCAGUGGCGAAGGCGGCAGCCUGGCCUAUAACUGACGCUGAAACGCGAAAGCGUGGGGAGCGAACCG
This 253-nucleotide ribosomal RNA is filed under the name uncultured bacterium. RNAcentral's name for it is "partial 16S ribosomal RNA". It matches the Rfam family "Bacterial small subunit ribosomal RNA", at positions 524 to 775 of the family's 1533-position model. The record is from RNAcentral.